Molecule: ribosomal RNA, 464 nt
Filed under: uncultured bacterium
Lineage: Bacteria
Description: partial 16S ribosomal RNA
Rfam family: Bacterial small subunit ribosomal RNA
Source: RNAcentral
CUACGGGUUGCUGCAGUGGGGAAUAUUGCACAAUGGGCGCAAGCCUGAUGCAGCCAUGCCGCGUGUAUGAAGAAGGCCUUCGGGUUGUAAAGUACUUUCAGCGGGGAGGAAGGGAGUAAAGUUAAUACCUUUGCUCAUUGACGUUACCCGCAGAAGAAGCACCGGCUAACUCCGUGCCAGCAGCCGCGGUAAUACGGAGGGUGCAAGCGUUAAUCGGAAUUACUGGGCGUAAAGCGCACGCAGGCGGUUUGUUAAGUCAGAUGUGAAAUCCCCGGGCUCAACCUGGGAACUGCAUCUGAUACUGGCAAGCUUGAGUCUCGUAGAGGGGGGUAGAAUUCCAGGUGUAGCGGUGAAAUGCGCAGAGAUCUGGAGGAAUACCGGUGGCGAAGGCGGCCCCCGGGACGAAGACUGACGCUCAGGUGCGAAAGCGUGGGGAGCAAACAGGAUUAGAUACCCCAGUAGUC